UGAAGCUGAUUUCGUUGUAUUUUAGGUUUUUAAACGCGCUCGUUUCUACAAGCCCCGCCCCCCCAUGACGCGAAGGGGAGAAGCGAUGCGGAUGUGAAAAACGACCAUUCAACUUGCCUCUGGCUCUCUCCUCCGCACCGAGUGAUGUUCGUGAUACUUUUACGUCUCCUGACUAUGAUCCAGUUGGCGGACCUGGUCACAGGUUGUGAGGUUGCGCAGAGACGCAGAGAACCCUAACACGUGACAUGCCGUCCGCUUUCCUGAGUUAUCAUAACAGUAGCUCUGUUCGUCAACGGUAAAAUUCACUAUGCCAGGAAAAUGUCGAUUUAAUAAUGCUUGGCUGCUUUUGGAUAAAUUCAAAGCAUGGAUUACAACCGACCAAGACCCGGUAAGAGCAGAAUGCAGGUUGUGUGGAGGCAAAUCUUUUGACAUUUCGAACAUGGGGGAGGCGGCAUUAACUAGCCAUGCGAAGGGGAGCCGACAUCGGAGCGCUGCUGCUAGCGGAGGGACCGUGACCCCUAUCUCCGACCUUUUCGCUACAGCGGCUACGGCAAAUGCUCCUAUCUCUGCUCGUUUGGGCUCGCGCCCCACUUCAAGAGUCUAACGUUGUCCAGCGUGUUGACUCAAAGGGCCUAUGUCAUUGUUGGAAUGCAUUAAGGAUGCAUUCUUACAAUGAGCACAGGUGCGUCGUUGCCGUGGUUACUCGCUCACACGCUGCAGGAUCUCUGUCUGUGACUCACAGCUGCUCCUAUGACCUGAUUAGUGGAGUCACAUGACGCAGCUAUGCUUUCUGUCAACAGACCAAUAUGAUAAAGACACUCGCCCCCCCUCCCCCCUCCACCCUGACCUCUUCUCACUGUUAAUCACUCACUAAGUCAGUCUGUCUAUUUCUCCUCCUCUCUCUCUCCCCCUCUAUCUCUUCCUCACCCUCCCUCUCUCUAUCUACACCCCUCCACCCCACCCAAUCCAAUAAUUUCAAAAUAAAAGCCCCAUGAGGGAGUUUUGACUGUAAUGUUAGUGAUGAGGCCUACUAAUUAAAAACUUCUUAGUUUGAAUAACAAACAUUCUGUCUCCCAACCCCCCCUCACCCAAUUCCAUCAUUACAAAAUAAAAGCCUCAAUGAUUAUCUGUACCUUAACCAUGAAGCGGUUUCGUUGAAAUACGUGUUGCUCUUUCAAAUACUACUACAACCACUACGAAUAUUACUAGUACUUCUAGUAGAACUGCAACUGAUACUUCUACUACCAUACUACUAGUAUUUCUAGUGCUAUUAAUACUACAACUACUACGAAUGUUAUUACAAAUACUACUAUGGCUAAUAGUGUUAGUAUUACAGCUGUUUCUACUGCUAUUGAUACUAAACAGACUUCUACUGCUAGUACUAAUACCACAAUUACAACUAUAACUAAUAUUACUACAAACAAUUUUUAACAUUUUUAUUCAUCUCAGCUUUUAUUUCUGUCCUUUUUUAAAAUUCAAUUAAGCUCUUGCAACUUCUGUAUUUUUUAGAAAAUCUAUUGAAAUUCAGCUUCCCCACUUCCUGUAUUUUCAGCAGUUUUUUAAAAUAAUUUCAGCUAUUCUUAUG
This is a long non-coding RNA of Gasterosteus aculeatus aculeatus (three-spined stickleback), 1585 nucleotides long. NCBI's taxonomy places the organism in Eukaryota, Metazoa, Chordata, Actinopteri, Perciformes, Gasterosteidae. The record is from Ensembl.